Molecule: ribosomal RNA, 569 nt
Filed under: uncultured bacterium
Lineage: Bacteria
Description: partial 16S ribosomal RNA
Rfam family: Bacterial small subunit ribosomal RNA
Source: RNAcentral
UGGGGAAUUUUGGACAAUGGGCGCAAGCCUGAUCCAGCCAUGCCGCGUGCGGGAAGAAGGCCUUCGGGUUGUAAACCGCUUUUGUCAGGGAAGAAAUCUUCUGAGUUAAUACCUCGGGGAGGAUGACGGUACCUGAAGAAUAAGCACCGGCUAACUACGUGCCAGCAGCCGCGGUAAUCGUAGGGUGCAAGCGUUAAUCGGAAUUACUGGGCGUAAAGCGUGCGCAGGCGGUUUUGUAAGACAGAGGUGAAAUCCCCGGGCUCAACCUGGGAACUGCCUUUGUGACUGCAAGGCUUGAGUGCGGCAGAGGGGGAUGGAAUUCCGCGUGUAGCAGUGAAAUGCGUAGAUAUGCGGAGGAACACCGUGGCGAAGGCAAUCCCCUGGGCCUGCACUGACGCUCAUGCACGAAAGCGUGGGGAGCAAACAGGAUUAGAUCCCUGGUAGUCCACGCCCUAAAACGAUGUCAACUGGUUGUUGGGAAGGUUCCUUCUCAGUAACGUAGCUAACGCGUGAAGUUGACCGCCUGGGGAGUACGGCCGCAAGGUUGAAACUUAAAUGAAUUGACGGGG